CAAACUAGUCUUAUUAGUUAGGUUUUCCAUUUACAUUGGAAUUAUGUAUUAUUGUGCAAUUCAAUAUAGUUUGA
Molecule: transfer RNA, 74 nt
Filed under: Ischnoptera deropeltiformis
Lineage: Eukaryota; Metazoa; Arthropoda; Insecta; Blattodea; Blattellidae
Description: tRNA-Val
Source: RNAcentral